GACGAACGCUGGCGGCGUGCUUAACACAUGCAAGUCGAGCGGUAAGGCCCUUCGGGUACACGAGCGGCGAACGGGUGAGUAACACGUGGGCAACCUGCCCCGAGCUCUGGGAUAACCCCGGGAAACCGGGGCUAAUACCGGAUAUGGCACCGACCGACAUCUGUCGGUGUGGAAAGAUUUAUCGGCUCGGGAUGGGCCCGCGGCCUAUCAGCUUGUUGGUGGGGUAACGGCCUACCAAGGCGACGACGGGGUAGCCGGCCUGAGAGGGCGACCGGCCACACUGGGACUGAGACACGGCCCAGACUCCUACGGGAGGCAGCAGUGGGGAAUAUUGCGCAAUGGGCGAAAGCCUGACGCAGCGACGCCGCGUGA
RNAcentral lists this ribosomal RNA (372 nucleotides) under uncultured bacterium. RNAcentral describes it as "bacterial SSU rRNA". It matches the Rfam family "Bacterial small subunit ribosomal RNA", at positions 28 to 404 of the family's 1533-position model. The record is from RNAcentral.